This 276-nucleotide long non-coding RNA is filed under the name Gossypium barbadense (sea-island cotton). RNAcentral describes it as "long non-coding RNA (GBAR_LNC002025)". Lineage: Eukaryota; Viridiplantae; Streptophyta; Magnoliopsida; Malvales; Malvaceae. The record is from RNAcentral.
CUCCAACCUUUAAACCAUACAGUACCAUAAACCCUAAACUAUCAUUUAAAACUAUUAUAUAAUAAAAUUUAAAGGUAAACUUAUCAUUUAAAACGUUUUCCACAAAAUAUCCCUUCAAUACAUUAAACAAUAUAACACCUUAUUAAUAUAUAAAAAAAUAUUUUUUAUCAAAAUCAAGAUAUCUAUUAUCGACAACAAUAAUUAAUUAUAGGGUUUAGGAUUAAUUUAAUUAUUGAAUAUGAUUCACUUGAGAUUAAUAUACUAUAUACCCAUGGC